RNAcentral lists this long non-coding RNA (245 nucleotides) under Salvia miltiorrhiza (redroot sage). Its description in RNAcentral is "long non-coding RNA (SMIL_LNC012110)". Lineage: Eukaryota; Viridiplantae; Streptophyta; Magnoliopsida; Lamiales; Lamiaceae. The record is from RNAcentral.
AGAACCAUUUUCAGUCAUUCGAUCAUCAAGAUCUACGGUGGAUGCAUCAUCUUGUUGGAUGAAUGCAGAUCCUGGGUUCGAAUCCUGAAGGGAGCAUUUUUUUAAAUUUUUUUAGUGCAUUAAUUUUAACAGCGAAUGCAUUAAUUUUUACAGUGGAUGCAUUAGAUUUGAUGGUUCUCCCGUUCUCACAAAUAAUGUAGUUCUCUCUAGAACCACACCCUAUAUAUAUAUAUAUAUAUAUAUAU